This 292-nucleotide ribosomal RNA is filed under the name uncultured bacterium. Its description in RNAcentral is "partial 16S ribosomal RNA". It matches the Rfam family "Bacterial small subunit ribosomal RNA", at positions 775 to 1067 of the family's 1533-position model. The record is from RNAcentral.
GGAUUAGAUACCCUGGUAGUCCACGCCGUAAACGAUGUCUACUAGGAGUUCGGUUUUUCGGAACUGUCUUCCAAAGCUAACGCAUUAAGUAGACCGCCUGGGGAGUACGGCCGCAAGGUUAAAACUCAAAUGAAUUGACGGGGGCCCGCACAAGCGGUGGAGCAUGUGGUUUAAUUCGAUGCAACGCGAAGAACCUUACCUACACUUGACAUCCAGAGAACUUACUAGAGAUAGUUUGGUGCCUUCGGGAACUCUGAGACAGGUGCUGCAUGGCUGUCGUCAGCUCGUGCUG